RNAcentral lists this long non-coding RNA (2555 nucleotides) under Toxoplasma gondii VEG. Lineage: Eukaryota; Apicomplexa; Conoidasida; Eucoccidiorida; Sarcocystidae. The record is from RNAcentral.
UUGUAAUGUGCUUCGUUGACGGGCAGAUUUCGGCACUGACAGUAGUAGCAUCGAUGCUGGAUCUUCGGUCGAAAGUACACCACUCUUUUUACCAAAGGGGUUCUCGAUUCCUCCAGUGUAGAUAAAGGAAAGCGUGGCGAUGACCACGAUUGUCCGGUAGCAGCCAAGCUGGUGGCGCCCUCUGUUGGUUGUUUCUUUGGCGUUUAUGCGUCAUUUGUUUUCGCAGCCAGAUGAUUCCUUCCAUUUCACACAGAGUUAGUCUUAGGGCGGUCUUUUCCAGAGGAAGGUGCGCUCCGUCACCGCGUUACCGUGUAGACUGACAAGCCAACAAAAGCACCGUGAGCAAAUGUGUGAACCAUCUCAUCCUUCUGAUCAAGACACCUCUUCAUGAUCUUUCCAAGCGUGAGGUGAUGCCCCAGCAAUCAGCAUCAUGAGUUACCUCGCCUAUGUGCCACCAGGUUCGUGCUGCCGCCUGGAAACAGCACCGGUAAUUCGAUGGUGAAGGUCGCUGCUGCAGACGUGUUUAAACAGCGUGAGGUGAAGCUGCUGUACACUGCAGUGAAAAUGCUCCUUGAACAACAAAAGCGCAUGUGGACCGAAUCCAAAGUGUGUUGUCGGCGAGCUGGUUCGUCCGUUACCCAACACCAGCCGCCUGGCACAUUUUACUGUCAAAAAAUGGCAAACCCAGGCGGCGAAGAGCUUCGUAUGACUUCACGGCUGAAGAGUUGUUGUUCUCUGCUCUCCUUCCUCUUGCCGAAGCAACGUUAUGCACAAGCGAGCUCAACGAUAUCCCGCUUAUUAGGAACAUUUCACAAUCAAGCUAGCGUACGAAUAAGCCCUUUUUAUCAGCAUUGAGACUGCCUGUGCGUUGUGCAGAGGUAUCCAUGGUCACGCACUUUCUGCUUGAUUCUUCGUGGAUGCGAAGGAACGAGAAUGCGACGAAAGCACGUCCGUAGAAAUAACUAUGUUCACUGGUGACUGCGCAACACAAAAGCAAUCUGUAGAACUGUUCCAUUUGUCUGUUGGUCGGCUGGCUGCUACAUUGGAGUUCCUGUGUCGCUUCCAGAACGGCCCGUAGCCUCUACAUCAGCCGUGACUCCCUUCCUAGCGGAGACGCGGGCGUUCUGGGAAACCCAAAGUUCCUCGAUAACUGUCGUUACCACCAUGCCGACAGCUUCGUUCACGCAUCUCCGUCCACCAUGAAAUGGACGCUUCUGGCGUGGGGCUUGACUGCAUGCACUCAUCAAACGUUCGGGCUGCGACGCAUCUCUCUGUUCGCAUGUUUUGUUGUCACCGACUCGGCUGUGAUAGCUUGCCCAGUCUUCGAAAUACACACAGGCAAGCCAAUGGAGCUCAUUUCCCAUUGUUUGGGUUGUUCGUGAGGAAAAGACCCUUGACACCACGACAUCCACACACGCAGUCUCACCCAAAUACCUGUCAUAAGCUGUGAAAGCGAGCUAUGCUCAGUCGUGCUUUUCGGUAAGGCUACGACAGGGUCAAGGACACCGCUCUCAAUGCUGUGGAACGAAUGGACGCUCCAGCAUUUCAGCUUCUUCAGCCCUUCUCAUCUCUUUUAAAACGACCCCACGUGUACCCAGUGUCCAUUUGCGUGAACUGCUUUCGUUUGGACGUCCAGGAAUCGAAAAACUUCCUGAAAGUUCCCAAGAGGUCAUAUUCUUGGGUUUCUAGGGCAGAGGAAAUGGCUCAGGCCAUCGCUGCGUCGGCUAGGGCGGCGACUGGUUCACUCGCCGGGAAAAAGCAGGGUAAAACCGCUGCGGAGGCAUUCAAGGCGCCAGAUAGUAUAAGCUGGGAGGCGCUCACGGAGUUCGUCUUUCCGAGAAAUCUGAUUCAUCCCAGGGCCCUCGGGCGUUUGUAUAUACUCGGAUUUUAUGGAAACAUCGAUGAGCACGGCAAAAUGAGAGCUGGUGAGCAAGUGGGCGCCCUCUACCCUUUCGGUGUUUGCCUCCACAUUGUAACUAGCUGCGACUACAUGUUCCAUGCGUCGCCCUCCAUUCGAGAGACCCUUAAGCUAUUUAUAGAAACCUGACUUGAACGCCAAUCGAAAGUUCAGAAAGGGCGUGAGGUUACUCCUGCGACGACCAGGCGGGAACGGCGCAUCUAUUUCGAAACAAUUUGAUACGAUCGAAUGUUUGCUCCCACAGUCUAUGCGAAGAAACCAUCACCCGUUCCAGGCGGAAAGACAUGCCAUGGUGCUUGGCGUAGAAGUGUAAAAACGCGGAUCAGCGAAUGCUGUGGGAUGAACAUUGCGCAGGCCAUUUUGGAAGGCACUCAGUCACGAAUGCUGAGAUUCGGGUCAUGAUGACGGACAUUUACAAAGUGAGAGUCCUCUCUGUUCACAUUCAUACGCCUUCUCGCUGCGACUGUUAUCUAGCAUAGAGAGAUUCGAAGAUACUGUCCCGGCAGCCUCCCCCCUAGCCCUUCGCAAACUCAGUCACAAAUGACACAGCAGUUUACCCACAUACAGGGAUACACAUGUGCAUAGCAAAAGCCGCCCGCUAGACUUUCAGUUCACUGUCUUUCGCUACUUUCCAAAC